Molecule: long non-coding RNA, 235 nt
Filed under: Capsicum annuum
Lineage: Eukaryota; Viridiplantae; Streptophyta; Magnoliopsida; Solanales; Solanaceae
Description: long non-coding RNA (CANN_LNC009835)
Source: RNAcentral
AAACUAUCUAAGUGACAACACCUAUAUUAUAUAAAAGUAAUAUUAUUACCUCUCCGCGACACCCAUGCCCAAGUUUAAUGAGUGGAGUACACUCCACUCGCCCUCUUGUAUUGCCACGUGUCUAAUUAAUUUUCCUAUUUUAUUAAAAACUUAAACCGACCCUAUUACUCUUUUAACCCAUCUAAUCCGACCCGACCCGACCCAACUCUCAUAUUUUACCCUGACUCUAUUAAAA